AAACCAAUAAAGUUUUCUUUAUUGGGGUUGCGGACAUAUCAUAACGAAGAGGUAUCGUAAUUGAAGAGGUUUGGAAAGACCUACCACAGAAGGUAAUAGUCCUGUAUGUUAAACGAGAAGACUUUAGAUAUGAUCCAGAGUACCACGGGACACGUGAAACCCUGUGGGAAGCAGGAGGGACCACCCUCCAAGGCUAAAUACUACCUAGU
RNAcentral lists this ribosomal RNA (209 nucleotides) under Clostridioides difficile. RNAcentral's name for it is "partial 23S ribosomal RNA". It matches the Rfam family "Bacterial large subunit ribosomal RNA", at positions 271 to 481 of the family's 2925-position model. The record is from RNAcentral. Lineage: Bacteria; Bacillati; Bacillota; Clostridia; Peptostreptococcales; Peptostreptococcaceae.